UACGGAGGGUGCGAGCGUUGUCCGGAAUCACUGGGCGUAAAGGGCGCGUAGGCGGCCUGAUAAGUAGGGGGUGAAAUCCUGCGGCUUAACCGCAGGGCUGCCUUCUAAACUGUCGGGCUUGAGCACAGUAGAGGCAGGUGGAAUUCCCGGUGUAGCGGUGGAAUGCGUAGAGAUCGGGAAGAACACCGAUGGCGAAGGCAGCCCCCUGGGCUGACACUGACGCUCAUGCACGAAAGCGUGGGGAGCAAACAGG
Molecule: ribosomal RNA, 253 nt
Filed under: uncultured bacterium
Lineage: Bacteria
Description: partial 16S ribosomal RNA
Rfam family: Bacterial small subunit ribosomal RNA
Source: RNAcentral